RNAcentral lists this ribosomal RNA (482 nucleotides) under uncultured bacterium. Its description in RNAcentral is "partial 16S ribosomal RNA". It matches the Rfam family "Bacterial small subunit ribosomal RNA", at positions 30 to 507 of the family's 1533-position model. The record is from RNAcentral.
AUUGAACGCUGGCGGCAUGCUUUACACAUGCGAGUCGAACGGUAACAGGCCGCCAGGUGCUGACGAGUGGCGAACGGGUGAGUAAUGCAUCGGAACGUGCCCAGUCGUGGGGGAUAACUACUCGAAAGAGUAGCUAAUACCGCAUACGAUCUAUGGAUGAAAGCGGGGGACCGUAAGGCCUCGCGCGAUUGGAGCGGCCGAUGUCAGAUUAGGUAGUUGGUGGGGUAAAGGCUCACCAAGCCAACGAUCUGUAGCUGGUCUGAGAGGACAACCAGCCACACUGGGACUGAGACACGGCCCAGACUCCUACGGGAGGCAGCAGUGGGGAAUUUUGGACAAUGGGCGCAAGCCUGAUCCAGCAAUGCCGCGUGCAGGAAGAAGGCCUUCGGGUUGUAAACUGCUUUUGUACGGAACGAAACGGCUCUGGUUAAUACCCGGGGCUAAUGACGGUACCGUAAGAAUAAGCACCGGCUAACUACGUG